This 300-nucleotide unclassified non-coding RNA is filed under the name uncultured Thelebolus. RNAcentral describes it as "sequence contains 5.8S rRNA gene, ITS2". The stretch from base 1 to 91 matches the Rfam family "5.8S ribosomal RNA", at positions 58 to 154 of the family's 154-position model. The record is from RNAcentral. Lineage: Eukaryota; Fungi; Ascomycota; Leotiomycetes; Thelebolales; Thelebolaceae.
CAGAUGGGUAUAAGAGACAGGUGAAUCAUCGAAUCUUUGAACGCACAUUGCGCCCUCUGGUAUUCCGGGGGGCAUGCCUGUUCGAGCGUCAUUACAACCCUCAAGCUUUGCUUGGUAUUGGACAUUGCCAGUUUCUGGCAGGUCUUAAAAUCAGUGGCGGUGCCAUUUGGCUUCAAGCGUAGUAAUUCUUCUCGCUUUGGAGAUCCAGGUGGUUACUUGCCAAUAACCCCCAAUUUUUUCAGGUUGACCUCGGAUCAGGUAGGGAUACCCGCUGAACUUAAGCAUAUCAAUAAGCGGAGG